UGGACAUUUAUUUUUAUUGUUUCUUCUCAAAGUGAAAGUAACUCUUUGUAAAUGUCCUAGAGAAAUGUGGUAGCUUUAUGUUCACACUUUGCAAGUAAAAAGCAUGGAUUGUUCCACUACUGACAUUU
Molecule: non-coding RNA, 128 nt
Organism: Callithrix jacchus (white-tufted-ear marmoset)
Lineage: Eukaryota; Metazoa; Chordata; Mammalia; Primates; Cebidae
Source: Ensembl